GUUAAACAAGGGAGAGUGAGACCAGCACGUGCCCGAUGCUUCAGUUGAAAAAACUUCAGCUACAAACGAGUGGAAGAGGUAUUUCCCUUCCAGACCUUCGUUUUCGGUCCCCUUUCAGCGCUGUAUCAGGCAAGGAAGAGACAAGAUUGCAGAAGAUUCAGCUGCUUCUGAGAAGUGAGAUGUUGUUACCAUGAGCAGGAACAAAAAAGAACAAACAGGAUUAAGUCUCUUGUACUGCCUUCCUGCUUCCCUCCAUCUACCAGAAAGAUUUAUUUUUUUUUUUUAAAUGCAGAAAAUUAUUUCUUUUCUAACAGAAACAGCUGAGAGAUUUGACUCAUCACUCGCCAUCCUCCAAAACCAGAAGCUGCCCCUGUGAGCUGCUAGCUGACUGAAUUCUGUACACUGCAAAGCAAGUUUGCAUUUCCCCGGAGGUGAUUGGAAAUGAUCUUGCUGAGCUCUCCAGUAUUAAAGUUGAUGUAUGUUUCCCUGCAUCCAAGGUUUUUUCCAGGAUUGCAUAAAGCAGGCUGAGUUUAGGAGCAGCUUCAUUUCACCUUUUGGAAAUGAACAACUUCUGGGUUAUUUUCAAGCUUUUUGGUAGCCAGAAUAGCAUAUUACUCAUCUGUUCUUGUUAAACAGAUUUCAGGAAUGUCUGCAGUGCCAGGAGCUCAUGUAUUAAGGAUAUAUAACAAGUUGUUUCUUUUGGUGCCUUGUGCUCUGGCAGUGUGUUGUAUCUCUGAAUGCCUUUAAAAUGCCAGGAACAGAUCAGAUGCCCAGAAGACAGUCAGGUCCAGAUGUGCUUGUGUGUUUGGGGUAGUCCAUUUCUAUACAGGGAGGUUUCCGAAGCAAGCAGCAAAGGCAUCUAGGGUGAACUCCAGAUCUGUGCAUCUUCCCAGCAGAGUGGCCACUUACACGCUGUGUAAUUGCUUGUAGUUAAAUUGGAUCACUUUGUAAUGUGAUACAUACAGAGCCAUAUCUGAUUGAGGCAUUAUGCCCAGUAUUGCCUUCUACGAAGUAUUAACAAAUUGAAAGGCAAGGUGUUGUCUUACAAUAGUGAAUUUUUAAUGAAUAAUGAAAAUUAAAUUCCUUUUUCCCCAAAA
Molecule: long non-coding RNA, 1097 nt
Organism: Calidris pugnax (ruff)
Lineage: Eukaryota; Metazoa; Chordata; Aves; Charadriiformes; Scolopacidae
Exons: 2
Source: RefSeq, a predicted model, not a curated record